AGGACGAACGCUGGCGGCGUGCUUAACACAUGCAAGUCGAGCGGAAAGGCCCUUCGGGGUACUCGAGCGGCGAACGGGUGAGUAACACGUGAGCAACCUGCCCUUAGCUCCGGGAUAGCUCCGGGAAACCGGAAUUAAUACCGGAUACGACCACGGCCGACAUCUGCUGUGGUGGAAAGGAUUCCGGCUAAGGAUGGGCUCGCGGCCUAUCAGCUAGUUGGUGGAGUAACGGCCCACCAAGGCAACGACGGGUA
Molecule: ribosomal RNA, 254 nt
Filed under: uncultured bacterium
Lineage: Bacteria
Description: partial small subunit ribosomal RNA
Rfam family: Bacterial small subunit ribosomal RNA
Source: RNAcentral